GUGGGGAAUAUUGGACAAUGGGCGAAAGCCUGAUCCAGCCAUGCCGCGUGUGUGAAGAAGGUCUUCGGAUUGUAAAGCACUUUAAGUUGGGAGGAAGGGCAGUAAGUUAAUACCUUGCUGUUUUGACGUUACCGACAGAAUAAGCACCGGCUAACUUCGUGCCAGCAGCCGCGGUAAUACGAAGGGUGCAAGCGUUAAUCGGAUUUACUGGGCGUAAAGCGCGCUUAGGUGGUUUUGUAAGUUGGAGGUGAAAUCCCCGGGCUCAACCUGGGAACUGCCUCCAAAACUGCAUGACUCGAGUACGGUAGAGGGUAGGGGAAUUUCCUGUGUAGCGGUGAAAUGCGUAGAUAUAGGAAGGAACACCAGUGGCGAAGGCGACUACCUGGACUGAUACUGACACUGAGGUGCGAAAGCGUGAGGAGCAAACAGGAUUAGAAACCCUUGUAGUCC
Molecule: ribosomal RNA, 450 nt
Filed under: uncultured bacterium
Lineage: Bacteria
Description: partial 16S ribosomal RNA
Rfam family: Bacterial small subunit ribosomal RNA
Source: RNAcentral